This 254-nucleotide ribosomal RNA is filed under the name uncultured bacterium. RNAcentral's name for it is "partial 16S ribosomal RNA". It matches the Rfam family "Bacterial small subunit ribosomal RNA", at positions 524 to 776 of the family's 1533-position model. The record is from RNAcentral.
GACAGAGGGUGCAAACGUUUGUUCGGAAUUACUGGGCGUAAAGCGCGUGUAGGCGGCUCGGCAAGUCGGGUGUGAAAGCCCUGGGCUUAACCUAGGAAGUGCACUCGAAACUGCCAAGCUUGAGUUCUGGAGAGGAAGGCGGAAUUCUCGGUGUAGAGGUGAAAUUCGUAGAUAUCGAGAGGAACACCGGUGGCGAAGGCGGCCUUCUGGACAGCAACUGACGCUGAGACGCGAAAGCGUGGGGAGCAAACAGG